This 73-nucleotide transfer RNA is filed under the name Hyaloperonospora arabidopsidis Emoy2. RNAcentral describes it as "Hyaloperonospora arabidopsidis tRNA-Pro for anticodon UGG". It matches the Rfam family "tRNA". Rfam says of the family: Transfer RNA (tRNA) molecules are approximately 80 nucleotides in length. Their secondary structure includes four short double-helical elements and three loops (D, anti-codon, and T loops). Lineage: Eukaryota; Oomycota; Peronosporomycetes; Peronosporales; Peronosporaceae. The record is from Rfam by way of RNAcentral.
AAGGGUGUGGCAGAACGGUUAAUGCGCUUGUUUUGGGAACAAGAGAUAAUGGGUUCAACUCCCAUCACCCUGA